Molecule: ribosomal RNA, 322 nt
Filed under: uncultured prokaryote
Description: bacterial SSU rRNA
Rfam family: Bacterial small subunit ribosomal RNA
Source: RNAcentral
AGAUUGAACGCUGGCGGCAUGCCUAACACAUGCAAGUCGAACGGUAACAGGUCUUCGGAUGCUGACGAGUGGCGGACGGGUGAGUAAUGCGUAGGAAUCUGUCUUUUAGUGGGGGACAACCCAGGGAAACUUGGGCUAAUACCGCAUGAGCCCUGAGGGGGAAAGCGGGGGAUCUUCGGACCUCGCGCUAAGAGAGGAGCCUACGUCCGAUUAGCUAGUUGGCGGGGUAAAGGCCCACCAAGGCGACGAUCGGUAGCUGGUCUGAGAGGACGACCAGCCACACUGGGACUGAGACACGGCCCAGACUCCUACGGGAGGCAGC